GGAGCUAACGCGUUAAGUCGACCGCCUGGGGAGUACGGCCGCAAGGUUAAAACUCAAAUGAAUUGACGGGGGCCCGCACAAGCGGUGGAGCAUGUGGUUUAAUUCGAUGCAACGCGAAGAACCUUACGUACUCUUGACAUCCAGAGAACUUAGCAGAGAUGCUUUGGUGCCUUCGGGAACUCUGAGACAGGUGCUGCAUGGCUGUCGUCAGCUCGUGUUGUGAAAUGUUGGGUUAAGUCCCGCAACGAGCGCAACCCUUAUCCUUUGUUGCCAGCGGUUAGGCCGGGAACUCAAAGGAGACUGCCAGUGAUAAACUGGAGGAAGGUGGGGAUGACGUCAAGUCAUCAUGGCCCUUACGAGUAGGGCUACACACGUGCUACAAUGGCGCAUACAAAGAGAAGCGACCUCGCGAGAGCAAGCGGACCUCAUAAAGUGCGUCGUAGUCCGGAUUGGAGUCUGCAACUCGACUCCAUGAAGUCGGAAUCGCUAGUAAUCGUAGAUCAGAAUGCUACGGUGAAUACGUUCCCGG
RNAcentral lists this ribosomal RNA (529 nucleotides) under uncultured bacterium. RNAcentral's name for it is "bacterial SSU rRNA". It matches the Rfam family "Bacterial small subunit ribosomal RNA", at positions 848 to 1377 of the family's 1533-position model. The record is from RNAcentral.